RNAcentral lists this ribosomal RNA (467 nucleotides) under uncultured bacterium. RNAcentral describes it as "bacterial SSU rRNA". It matches the Rfam family "Bacterial small subunit ribosomal RNA", at positions 33 to 507 of the family's 1533-position model. The record is from RNAcentral.
GACACGCUGGCGGCGUGCCUGACACAUGCAAGUCGGACGGUUCUUGCACCUUCAAGCUUGCUUGCUGGUGCAGGGAUAGUGGCGGACGGGUGAGUAACGCGUGAACAUCUACCCAUUGGAGGGGGACAACCCGUCGAAAGGCGGGCUAAUACCGCGUAAGCCGUGAGGUGAGAGGCUGCCUAUUGGUGGCCGCCGAUGGAUGGGUUCGCGUCCUAUCAGCUGGUUGGUGGGGUAACGGCCUACCAAGGCGAAGACGGGUAGCCGGUCUGAGAGGAUGGCCGGCCACACUGGAACUGAGACACGGUCCAGACUCCUACGGGAGGCAGCAGUGGGGAAUAUUGGGCAAUGGGGGUAACCCUGACCCAGCGACGCCGCGUGAGGGACGAAGGUUUUCGGAUCGUAAACCUCUGUUGUACGGGAAGAAGGAAUUGACGGUACCGUACGAGAAAGCCCCGGCAAACUACGUG